RNAcentral lists this ribosomal RNA (253 nucleotides) under uncultured bacterium. Its description in RNAcentral is "partial 16S ribosomal RNA". It matches the Rfam family "Bacterial small subunit ribosomal RNA", at positions 524 to 776 of the family's 1533-position model. The record is from RNAcentral.
UACGUAGGGUGCGAGCGUUAAUCGGAAUUACUGGGCGUAAAGCGUGCGCAGGCGGUUCGUUGUGUCGGCGGUGAAAGCCCCGGGCUUAACCUGGGAAUGGCCGUCGAAACUGGCGGACUGGAGUGUGGCAGAGGGGGGUGGAAUUCCGCGUGUAGCAGUGAAAUGCGUAGAGAUGUGGAGGAACACCGAUGGCGAAGGCAGCCUCCUGGGCCAGCACUGACGCUCAUGCACGAAAGCGUGGGGAGCAAACAGG